GAUGAACGCUGGCGGCGUGCCUAAUACAUGCAAGUCGAGCGAACAGACGAGAAGCUUGCUCCUCUGACGUUAGCGGCGGACGGGUGAGUAACACGUGGAUAACCUACCUAUAAGACGGGGAUAACUUCGGGAAACCGGAGCAAAUACCGGAAAAAAUAUUGACCGGCAGGGUUAAAUAGUGAAAGAGGGCUUGGCUGUAACUAAUAGAUGGAUCCGCGCCGCAUUAGCUAGUUGGUAAGGUAACGGCUUACCAAGGCGACGAUGCGUAGCCGACCUGAGAGGGUGAUCGGCCACACUGGAACUGAGACACGGUCCAGACUCCUACGGGAGGCAGCAGUAGGGAAUCUUCCGCAAUGGGCGAAAGCCUGACGGAGCAACGCCGCGUGAGUGAUGAAGGUCUUCGGAUCGUAAAACUCUGUUAUUAGGGAAGAACAAAUGUGUAAGUAACUAUGCACGUCUUGACGGUACCUAAUCAGAAAGCCACGGCUAACUACGUG
This 497-nucleotide ribosomal RNA is filed under the name uncultured bacterium. Its description in RNAcentral is "partial 16S ribosomal RNA". It matches the Rfam family "Bacterial small subunit ribosomal RNA", at positions 28 to 507 of the family's 1533-position model. The record is from RNAcentral.